AUAAAAUCUACUCUCCGAGCCGAUUAAUCUAAAGAGAAAAAUCCAUGGUUCAUCGGCCAGGGCUUUAACGCCCUCAGGGUAUGUCUAGAAAUGGAUAUGCCUUCACUUUGAAAAGGAGGUGGUCGCAUUUAAUU
RNAcentral lists this non-coding RNA (134 nucleotides) under Peptococcaceae bacterium. RNAcentral's name for it is "MoCo sequence". It matches the Rfam family "Molybdenum/Tungsten riboswitch aptamer (Moco RNA motif)". The record is from RNAcentral. Lineage: Bacteria; Bacillati; Bacillota; Clostridia; Eubacteriales; Peptococcaceae.